This 3496-nucleotide unclassified non-coding RNA is filed under the name Hevea brasiliensis (rubber tree). Lineage: Eukaryota; Viridiplantae; Streptophyta; Magnoliopsida; Malpighiales; Euphorbiaceae. The record is from RNAcentral.
UGAGAAACCAUUUCCUGAAAGUUGACAAUGGCACAAAGCCAUGAAUAUUGAAGUCGUGUAUACAAGGAUGAAUGAGAGAAAAGGGGCCAAGAGAAGCAGCAAAAAGCUUUCAUUUGGUUUUCACUGUUUUCCAAAUUAAACAUUACAACUUCGUAGAAAUAAUAAAAAUUUCAAAUUUAUCUGAAACAAUAAAACGUCUAGCAUGGAACUUAUCUGUGAAAAAAUUCAUCCAUCAAUAAAAAAAGAUCAGUGCGUGAAUGAUAUGAAUCAACCAACAGGAUUAGCCGUGAGAAGCAAGGGCCUGGCGUGUAUACCAGAAGAAAUUCUAGAAGAGCUGGAACUCGCAUUGCUGACUUGGCAGAAACUUCUAGAAAGAAUGAAACAGUCGAGGAAAUGGUGGGGACUCCAGAGGGGAAGGAGAAAGUACAGCUGUUAUGUUAUGCAUGAAACCAGGGGGGGAAGUUGUAUAAGAAAGAAGUUAUCAGCUAAAUAAGGCAUGAAUUGAGUAGAUUGCUCUUCCUCGGCAGAGUAUUGGGCCAAGGAUUCCCGUUUGGAAUCACGUUUGAUUAUUUUCUGUAGUUUUCCUUUUGUUGCUGAAUAGUGUAUUGAGAGAUUCUUUUCCAGAAUUUGCGUUGAAUUGUUGCUGAACUCUGUAAUUUCCAUGUGGAGUAGAAAUUCAAUAAAAAUAGAGGCCCCAUUUUAAUAAUUUUUCCCCUUCAAAUUCCUAACCCUAUCAAUUUGGCCCAACCCUGCUGGUAUUCCCUAAUUCUUGUGAAUGCAAAACACUAGAAUAGAUUCUCGAAUUGACACGAUAGAGGAAUUUGUCGGCUGUUGAAUGUGGCCUUUAGAAAAUUCACUCAGAUUGGGAGCAAACUGAUAAGAAAGUUACUGGGCCAUAAGAUGAAGUGUCACAGAACCGCAAGAAGAUUGAUGUCAUAGAGGGCUUACCACUCUCAUCAAAGGCAAAGCAGUGCAGGGCAAGAGUAAAGUUGUUUCCCAAACUCCUCCGAGUUUACAGCUCAAGGAGAAACUUCUGCCACCCAUACCAUCAUACUGCCAAAUAAGCUUCACCUAUCUGCCAAAAAGGUGGAGAUGCCCUGUUUCAAUAGAGAGGACACAAUUGGUUGGCUAGCUCAUGUUGACCAAUAUUUCACAAUAAAUCGCACUCUAACCGAUAUGAAGGUCCCUUUGGCUAUUGUCUGCAUGGAAGGUACCACCCUACACUGGGUUCAGUGGUUGAAACACCCUUGAUAUGACUUGGGAAAACCUCUUGCAAGAACUUCAACAUUAUGGCGGUGAUGCUCUCACUAAUCCAUUUGAGCAAUCGGCAUGAAGAACAGAAAACACUUCAGUUCAUUUGGACUUCAAAUUUGCCUUUAGUUUUCUCAACUCUUGCCCUUGUUGCUUGUACAAUUUUGUCCAUUCCAAAUCUACUCUUUCUUGCAACAAGCGCCAAUCCAUGGCCAUAUCAUACUCUAUCGUAUUGGGCUGAGAGCAAUGUGAAGUAGAGACUGCUUCUUUCAUCUCCCGUUGCAUUUGGAGUCUAAGUUUAUCGAUAUAGAUAUGACCAAAAAAUGUUGACGGCUUUCCAGGUAAUCUAAGAGUUGCAAUGCUGCCAACCAGAGGCCUCCCAUUUGAUAGCAAAAGGCAACUUUCAUCUAAUUUCGUAAGAGCAAUUUUAGCGGCUUCACUUGUUUUGAAUAUAACAAAAGCUUGACCAGAAUGUGGGCUAGAAAAUGCAGUUCGUUGAAUCAUCUUUGCUGUGCAGUUUUCCUUGAAAGCAUGCCAAACAAUAUCCUCCACUUCUGCCGAAGUAUAAGAAGGAUCCAAAUUUUGAAGCAAGACAAGCCUUCCUUCUGCAUGUGCAUUUUGCAUUCUUUCCUCCCAAGGAGGUCUCUUAAACCAUUUGCUUUUAUCAGCUUCUGGUCUUCGAGUGACUUCCACUUUUUGAUUUGCAGUUUUGCUCGCAUUUGAAGCCUCCCUAGGAGAUUCUUCAAGCAAUUUGCCAUUUGCAAGUUCUGUAAGCUUCUCAUCAAGCUUUGGUUUCUUUGAAGAGAUAUUCUCAGUCCAAUGGGGAUCCUUUGUGAGUUUACGUUUAGAUUUUUCUUCAGAAGCAGUGGCUGUUCGAUUUACAGCCUUAACAUCACUGCCACCAGAAUCAAGAUUUAAUUUCUGCACAAUUUUCUUUCUGUCAUCAGAUGCUUUCAAAGAAUCAUCAAGUUUUGCUUGCUUAGAUGGCCUAUCACUAGAUCUACCAGAAUCCAUUGUAGCUUUUACCUUCUUCUCAGCUUGAAACUCAAUGGCAGGAACUUUAACUGCCUUACUUUCACCCCUAACAGGAUCACCUUUAGACCUCGAAGAGAUCUUGUCAUUAGACAUGCUUUCCUGUCUAGCUUUUUUGGCCAUUUCACCCAACUCUACACCUAAAUUAGAUGCAUGCUUCUCUCCUAAUGAGGACUUCUGUUUAACCAAUGAAGGUGUCAGAUGUGCAAUUUUUUCAUUGUCAGAUGCUGAACUGACAUUAGAAUCAGGCAAUGCAUUCUUGUCUGCUGCUACAUCAGCAACUGCAGCAUUUGCAGUGGUAUUAUCGUUUGAAUCAGGAACAGCAUUGGAUUUCUGAAUACUUACUCUGUUAAGUAGAAACUUAAAGUCAAUUGCAGCAAUUUUAUCAUCUAUCUUAUCCAAGAUAACACGGCGCCCAACAUCAAAGGUACGGUAAAAUAUGAAGUCAGCCAUUUCAAGUUCUUCGUUCGAGGGCUGUGGAUUUCUGCUGUCCUUUGAAAUGCAAACGACAUUACAUUUUCCAGCAAUUGUUUCCUGAGUUAACGGAUGGAAAAUUAGCAACUCAAUAGCCUAGCUUAUACUAGGCACCUCCACGUACACUAAAUACAUUAAGCACACAAAUCAGUAGCUCAAGGCACUAAAAAUGUAAAAUCAAUUUAUUACUGCUUAAAACAUACAAGCAGGUGGAUGUUUGUUUGCAAUUCAGUCAAAAACAUCCACAACAAUAUACAAAGACCAAUGCAAUUACAAAUACUUACAAAAAAAAAAUUGCACUAAAUUUACAUAUGAAUUAUAGAUAUAUAUCAAAUUACCAAGUCUCAAGGAUUUCUAAUUGUGAAAGGCAUAUGCAAAAGUUAAAUUGGUUAAGCCAUAUGCAAAGUUUUCCUGAUUCUGGAAGCCAUAAUCAAAGAGUUGGCAUUGCUAGCUCUAAAACCUUCUCAAAAGAAUCAUCAAUUUAACUAUUAUUAAACAGACUUUUUCAUUAUGGACAAAUGUCCAAGUUUCCGACUCAUCUGUUUUUAGGAGAUCUUCCAUUGCAUUGAAAACACCCAAACAUGCAUAAUAUCAGCUGUGUCCAACAGGAACAUCAAAUAUAAGCAAAGGGUCCAGGUAAGACAGCCCUUAAAAUGCCUGAGUGGCUCAUGCAUUUUCUGUCUAAAAAUAUCAAUUCCAACAGGAAAAUAAAUAGGAGAGGAAGUCAAUAAAUGUAAUC